RNAcentral lists this long non-coding RNA (1129 nucleotides) under Helianthus annuus (common sunflower). Its description in RNAcentral is "hypothetical non coding rna". Lineage: Eukaryota; Viridiplantae; Streptophyta; Magnoliopsida; Asterales; Asteraceae. The record is from RNAcentral.
GUGAUGAUAUGUUAAUCUAUCAAAACAAUAAACAAUUCGUCUAGAUCUCAGAAACACAAGAGUCCAAUCAUGCAAACGUAAGAACUAUAAGCAAUCAAAUAGUCAACAAAACUGAAACAAAUAUCAAUUUAAGUAAACAGCAAUUUGAUUAUUCAGAGUUUAAUAACCAGUUUCUGCGAGGUUAAAGCAAAUUCUAAACGCAUGAAACAAAAUCAUCAUGCAUUCAUGCCGUAGUGAUCUCUAGAUGAUCAGUUAAUCUAUCAAAACAAUCAACAAUUCGUAGAGAUCUUAGAAACAUGAGCGUUCAAUCGAUCAACCGUAACAACUAUAAGCAAUUAAACAAUCGACAUACCGUAAGUAAAUAUCAAAAUACGUAAACAACAAUUAAAUUACCAUAAAACAGUUCCACGGCCACUCAGAACCAUCCUCUCUAGUAAUUUUAGAUCUCGAAAUCCCCCAAUAACUCGAAACCGCAACCUGAUCUUCACCUUCCUUCUUCGCAGCUCCGGCAUCCGCCUGUUUUACCGCCGGCGCCUUUGCCGCCGGCUCCGCCGCAGAGCACAUCAUCCUCCGCCACUGAAAGCUCCCGAAAUCCUGAUCCGCCACCAUUACCGACCGAUCAAACGGCCGGAAACUAAACACCACCGCUGCAGCAAACUCCGGCGACUGUACCACGUGUUCUCCGGUCAUAAUCCGGCCGCCGCUCAUCACACACCGCCUCAAAACCGAAUUCGCAAGCAACCGAUUCAUUUUGUAACCGUUUUUAGGGUUUCAGAUCGUUCUGUCUACACACUUCUUUCAGUCGGUAUUUAUUUGAAGAAACUGAACAGAAUAGUCACAAUAACUGUAUUAUUUUGAGAAUUGAUCACCUGCUUCGCGGUCUACUGUUUCAAAUUUGUUACUUUGUGGUUUUGUUAUCCUGUGGUGUCGCUCCACGGGAAGGAAAAGAAGAGGCUUUGGAGCUUGUACGGUACAAGUUGGUUAUGCGUGAUUGGAGAAAAUGGGUGAUAUGACAUACAUACCCUUGGGUUAAGAUGGAUUUACCUUUUGGAUAUUCUUGCUUUGGCCCCAAGUUUCGGGAGAUGUUUUGAGUAAGGGACACGUUGGAGGUAUUGGGAGGGUACACGUG